CUUCAACAGCUAAGAGGAAUUGCUUUAAAUGAAAUGAAUUAUUUUGAUUUUAGGAACUCUGUUGGACGCUAAAACAAUAGACUCAGUAGCUCAAUAGCAAAAAUAAUUAAAAUGAGUGUCAUCUACAGAGACCUUUUAUUCAGAGAUGAAGGUUAUUUUCCUCUCUCUGCAUUCAGCUGCGCCAGUGGGGCGGAGGAGCCCACGGCGGUCGCCAGGCUGUGCAUGGGGGAAACAGCCACCACGAGAUCCUGCAGCUGCUGUGGCAGAGCCUGCUGCCCAUCACUUGGAAAUAUUGCAGCGCUACCCAAGUAGAUGGGCAUUCCUAUCCAGAACCAAGGCAGAUACUGUGGCCUUUGCAAAAUCUGCCUUCUCAAAUCAGUUGUAUUUCCAAGAAGAAUUGUAUUUUCAACUCAGAUAUCUGUCCCAUCUGCACGUACCUGACUAUGUUCAAUUAGCAACUUUGACUUUGGCUGUCAGUCUUGAGUUUUUAUUCUUUAGAGCCAGAAAGGAAUCAAACUAUGAAACUUCAGAACUGCGCAUCACAAGGACUCCUCUAAACCAAUUGCUGCAGUUUUGAGAUGGGUACUUAACAACCCUCUCAGAAUAUCUGUCUUUCUGGUUACUACCGGACAUAUUUCCAGCUCCAUUUUUUGCUAUUUUUCAAGACAACUGCC
RNAcentral lists this long non-coding RNA (674 nucleotides) under Zonotrichia albicollis (white-throated sparrow). RNAcentral describes it as "lncRNA (ENSZALG00000008955.1)". Lineage: Eukaryota; Metazoa; Chordata; Aves; Passeriformes; Passerellidae. The record is from RNAcentral.